UACAGAGGUGCCGAGCGUUAGGCGGAAUCACUGGGCUUAAAGCGUGUGUAGGCGGAUGCCUAAGUACCUUGUGAAAUCCCACGGCUUAACCGUGGAACUGCUUGGUAUACUGGGUGUCUUGAGCCACUUAGGGGCGACCAGAACAAACGGUGGAGCGGUGAAAUGCGUAGAUAUCGUUUGGAACGCCAAUGGUGAAAACAGGUCGCUGGGAGUGUGCUGACGCUGAGACACGAAAGCCAGGGGAGCGAACGGG
Molecule: ribosomal RNA, 253 nt
Filed under: uncultured bacterium
Lineage: Bacteria
Description: partial 16S ribosomal RNA
Rfam family: Bacterial small subunit ribosomal RNA
Source: RNAcentral